UACGAAGGGAGCUAGCGUUGUUCGGAAUCACUGGGCGUAAAGCGCACGUAGGCGGAUUUGCCAGUCAGGGGUGAAAGCCCGGAGCUCAACUCCGGAACUGCCUUUAAGACUGCAUCGCUAGAACGAUGGAGAGGUAAGUGGAAUUCCGAGUGUAGAGGUGAAAUUCGUAGAUAUUCGGAAGAACACCAGUGGCGAAGGCGACUUACUGGACAUCUGUUGACGCUGAGGUGCGAAAGCGUGGGGAGCAAACAGG
Molecule: ribosomal RNA, 253 nt
Filed under: uncultured bacterium
Lineage: Bacteria
Description: partial 16S ribosomal RNA
Rfam family: Bacterial small subunit ribosomal RNA
Source: RNAcentral